GGAGAGGAAAAAAAAAGAGUGCAAGAGUAAGAAUUGUGUCAUAAAGUUUCUAGCACGUGUAUUUGCUUAGAGCAUAUCAUAUGUUAACUAGAGGCCUUUUGUUGUUAUAUUCAUGCCUUACUGGAAAAAACUUUUGAGAAAAAGGUGGCUACUAAUGAAACAAUUAGUGUUCAGAAAUUUCGUGAAUUGUUUCUGAGCAUAACAUCACACUCGUAUCUCCUAAGAGGGAAGUCUAAUAUUUUGGAAAAAAAUAUUGCUAAUUUGUCCUAAUAACUUAAAUACAAGUGUAGUUUUAUUGAUUUUUUACAAUCAGUCACUGUUUCUGAAUCUCUGUUGUGAUUGGGUGCUGUAAUUGCCUAUAUUUCAGCUUUAACAGGCACAAGGGAUCUAAAUACAUCAUGAAAGCUCUUUUCCUUUUUUUGUUUAUUUGUUUGAAAUUUAAAGUAGCAACAGUUACCGUUCAGUGGAGAUUUGAAUAGAAAUUGGAAAGAAGCAAUAAAAAUUUAGCUUAGUGAUAUGUUGCCAGAGGAAAAUGUGCCUUUGAACAAUUUUUAAUUGUUUAUUUAAAAAAUGUAUCCCAACGAAAUCUUUGCUAUGUAAAAGCUGUGAAUUCGUACCGAUAUAUGUGUAAAAAUAGAGUAUCUUAUUUGCAGAAGCUAUAUAAUUUGUCAAAAGUAGUUCUGAAGUUUUAAAACUAUUUGAUCCUGUAGUUUGUUUUUGCAUUGCAGUUAAACAAACCAUUAAACAGAUGUGUUGAACCCA
This is a long non-coding RNA of Limulus polyphemus (Atlantic horseshoe crab), 762 nucleotides long. RefSeq lists it as uncharacterized. The transcript is spliced from 2 exons. NCBI's taxonomy places the organism in Eukaryota, Metazoa, Arthropoda, Merostomata, Xiphosura, Limulidae. The record is from RefSeq and is a predicted model, not a curated record.